AAACGAACUGACUCACCAGCAGCUGGGGGAGGGGAGGGAGCAGGGAGCCCCCAUGCUGUGACUAACGUCGCUGCUGGCCCCUCAACAUCAUCAGUUGACUUUCUCCACUCACUCCCUUCCUGAUUCUGUCCAGAUCACAUUUGUUCUGAAGGACUUGAGUCACCUCACCACAUCCCUUUUGUGACCACAGUGAAGUCUUCAUAAAGGGACAGCUGGCCCAAAGGAGGGGAGAUCCUACAGAUAAAAUGAAGAGGAAACUUCUUUGACGGUUCCACGGUAACUUUCUCAACCAACCCCUCUCAGAGACCCUUGUACCAAGUAUCAGGGUUUGUCCCCCCCACCCCUCCACCACAGACCUGAUCUUCCAAGAGGUGCCGGCCCUGCCCCAUGGGACUGGCUGUGGCUGGAAUGCAGUAUCCAAUUACCACGUGGUCUCAACCCCCGUGUGGGUGGCUGUGUGGUGAGAACCACAGGCAGACGACAGCUGUCCUUCUGUGCAGAGUGGCUCCCCAACCAGACUCUGCGGGGUGUUACAGUGUUCCCUGAGGGAGGUCGCUUCUGAGUGCUGGGGCCACAGACUAAACAGACAAUUAAAACUCAUCUGAGUUUUGGCAGUUUCUCCAAAAGCAUUUCUACUCCUGCUUUUUUGUUUUUUGGUGUAUGCUUUUCAACUUCAAGGAACACACUUUCCUCUGCAAAGGAAUUAUACUGAAUCGCCUAGCCAUUGCACGCAGGCCUCCCCUCUCCUGAAGAUGAACUUGGCAACUGCUUCACCAUGACAUCCUGCACAUCCAGAGAGAUGGCCCUUUUCUUCUUCUUGUGCUACACAGCCUCGCUCUCCUGUAUGAAGGGACGAUGCAGUGUUCACUUCCACCAGACUAGCUCCACUCGAGCCACAGGCUCUCCUCACAUUUCUGCUUGUUUGGGUAACUCGUUGUGGAUGGGCCCCCAGGGGCAGCUUCUAUUCUAAACCUGUGUCGUCCUGGAGGCCAGAGUCAGCACAGCCAGCCUGCCUCCAAAAGUACGAGUCCAAGGCCAAAAGUAUUGAAUCCUUCUGAAAGCAUCACUUCAUCAGGUUUGCACUGGACGGAGGAACCGGCCUUGGAAGACCUGCCAUAUCUGCAGCCCCCUUUAAGGACCGGUGCUAUUCCGGUGGAGCUGUGGCACAUGGGCCAGAGCUGAUUGGAUCAAGUGACACCCGACCCGAGGGCUGCCCUUCUGUAGGUCAGCCAGCAUCCUAUGAGGUAGCCCGGCCCAGGAGCCAGUGCUGCCUGAACCAAUCAAAUUCUUCUGCUUAGGGAGUUUGGAUGCAACAUAGAGGGGCAGCCAAGUGGUUGUUAGUGAGAGAAGCAGAAUGAUAAAGAAAAGCAAGGACGGAGAGAUGAUCAGUCUGUGGCGGCAGAGGGAAGUAGGGUCAAUGCACAGCUCCUGGAGAGAAGCUGCAGAUCCAGGGCAAUGUAAAACCCAGAGGCCCCAUCACGGUGCCCCCCACAUCCCCAGUACCUACCUCACCACGCUGGGUUCCUGAUAAAGCUCGUUAAAUGGGCCCGGUGUGCAUUCUCGAAACGCCUCCUUGCCCUGAACCACCUGCCAUGUGUUUUCAUACAGGUGAGUUAGGUGUGCCGCUCAGUGGGGGCUCUGGCACCCUUCCUAGAGUUACAAUCUGUGAAACUGAGGCCCUGCGGGAAGGGUGGAUUGAUGCACAUUUCCAGAUUUGAGGCUGGGAGGAGCCACCACUGCGAGACUUUCCUCCCCAAUCAUGUCCUUCUCAGAGCUUCAGUGAGGACAGUUGUCCCUGCAGUGCCCCGGCAAGAGAAAUCCCAGACCUCUCUGUCUUUGAGUGGUAAGGACCACUCGCAAGCACCCACUAUUUCGUUGGGUCCCAUGAGUCCCCUCCCCUCAACGUCGUACUCUGCUCUGGCCGGGCCAUACAGUUCGAGGGGAGUGAAACUGGAGAAGAAUGUGUGGAAGUUUGUGGCUUUCAUCUCUUAAACAAAUAGCAAAUUCCUCUGGGCUGCGGCUGCUGGAAUUGAACAAUGAUGUGUUCCGGGAGGCGCUAAGGCGUUACCUUGGCAACACCCAGGCUGUUUUCAGGCAAGAUCUAGUUAAAUGGGAAAGAGAACAAAAAUAAUAAAGGGAAGAGUCUGGAUGGGGUCCAGGAAUGGGGGUCUUUGGGCUGAAUGUGUGUGUUUUGUGUUCUGAUGUGUUUGCAGCCUGCCUUUCAGCUGAGUUUCCUCCCGGCUCCCCCAAGCGCGUCCCACGUCUGUGAAAUCGUCUACUAGAAUACUAAUUGGAGGCUAAGAACAGGCAGCGUGCUACGUGGGGGAUGGGUUAGAAAGCGAAAGGCGUCACCACUGUGACCACCUAAUCAGGAAGCGAUGUGCGUGAAGCCUGCCAGGUUGGCUUUUGAAAUCGUGAAGGUCACGGGAGUUACUUCAAACAUGACCCAGAUGCUUGCACCUUAGGCAGUCGGCGGCGUGUACCGUGGCAGUCCAUCAGACCCUUGCCCCUCACAGUGUGGUCCGGGGGCCAGCCACAGAGCAUCACCUGGGAGCUUGAGGAGAUGCAGACGAUCAGGUUGCCCCAGGCCUACCGACCAGGUCUGUGUUUUGACAAGACCCCCAGGUGACUCACAGCACCUACCUUUGUCACGUCAAGGUGGAUUCCUAAAAUAAGGUGGCAGUCCAGUACAAAAGCAGGCAUACCUGGUUUGCUGACAACGCAUUUUGGUGUGUUUGUUUUUUAACAUUGAUUCUUUGUGGUGAUGAUGACAAUGAUGGUGCUGAUGAUGAAGAUGACAUCAGGUACUGUUAUGAGUUGACUUGUGUCCCCACAAAAGGAUAUGUUCAAGUCCUACUAACCCUUGGUACCUGCGAAUGUAACCUAAUUUGGAUAUGAGGUCUUUGCAGAUGCAAGUUAAGUCGAGGUCAUCAGGGUGGACCCUAAUCCAAUGACUGGUGUCCUUAUAAAGGAGAGGGAAAUUUGGAUACAGACACCCAGAGAGAAUAGCAUGUGAUGACACAGGCAGAGAUUGGAAUGACCCUGUCACAAGCCAAGGAACGCCAAGGACUGCGCCAAGGACAUCAGCCAGAAACUAGGAGAGAAGCCUGGAUCAGAUUCUCCUGCUGAGAACGUAAGAAGGAACCAACAAGUUGAUACCUCCGUUUUGGACCUCCUGCC
Equus caballus (horse) is the source of this 3180-nucleotide long non-coding RNA. The record is from Ensembl. Lineage: Eukaryota; Metazoa; Chordata; Mammalia; Perissodactyla; Equidae.